CCUACGGGGGGCUGCAGUGAGGAAUAUUGGUCAAUGGCCGCAGGGCUGAACCAGCCAAGUCGCGUGAGGGAUGACGGUCCUAUGGAUUGUAAACCUCUUUUGUCAGGGAGCAAAGGGCGCCACGUGUGGCGUUUUGCGAGUACCUGAAGAAAAAGCAUCGGCUAACUCCGUGCCAGCAGCCGAGGUAAUACGGAGGAUGCGAGCGUUAUCCGGAUUUAUUGGGUUUAAAGGGUGCGCAGGCGGAAUGUCAAGUCAGCGGUAAAAUUUCGGGGCUCAACCCCGUCGUGCCGUUGAAACUGGCGAACUAGAGUGCGGGAGGGGUAAGCAGAAUUCCAAGUGUAGCGGUGAAAUGCGUAGAUAUUAGGAGGAACACCGGUGGCGAAGGCGGCUUACUGGACCGUAACUGACGUUGAGGCUCGAAAGCGUGGGGAGCAAACAGGAUUAGAUACCCCGGUAGUC
This 459-nucleotide ribosomal RNA is filed under the name uncultured bacterium. RNAcentral describes it as "partial 16S ribosomal RNA". It matches the Rfam family "Bacterial small subunit ribosomal RNA", at positions 338 to 795 of the family's 1533-position model. The record is from RNAcentral.